UACAAGUUUUAAAAUCCAAAUAUUAUGUUCAAUUAAAAUUUUGGCAAGAUGAUGGUGCUAAACGAAGUCAGAGGACUUAGUUUAAUCACCGAAGUGUGUGGAACCAGUUUGUUAAUCACAUGUGUAUUUGUUAAUUGCAUUGCUAAUGAGGCUUUUGCUAGGAUGAGGUUGAGAAAGGCAGCAAUGGUCAAACACCCUAUGACUGCAGGCUGGGCCCCAGGCCAUGGCGUCUUUUUUAAUAAGAACCUUUGUUGCUUACUGAAACUUACUCCUUUCCUCUCCCACAGCUGAUUUACCGCCUGUUUAUUCCUGUAUAAAGACCUUGUUAAUCUUGUGAGAGCAUUCUUGUGUGUGAACUGAGCUCUGCUGCAGCAGAAGCUGCUAAUAAAGAACCAGAAAACCAACCCUUUCAGUUUGGACCAAAGUGGCAGACCAACAAAGCAGCCUCGACAUCCACGCUGCUGGCAUGGCUAGCAAGAGUUAAAAUAAGAUAAAUCCCAUGCUCACCAUGCCUUGCCCCACCUCAGGAAUAUUUCG
This is a long non-coding RNA of Monopterus albus (swamp eel), 537 nucleotides long. RefSeq lists it as uncharacterized. The record is from RefSeq and is a predicted model, not a curated record. The transcript has 3 exons. NCBI's taxonomy places the organism in Eukaryota, Metazoa, Chordata, Actinopteri, Synbranchiformes, Synbranchidae.